Molecule: unclassified non-coding RNA, 405 nt
Filed under: soil metagenome
Description: partial contains 5.8S ribosomal RNA, internal transcribed spacer 2, and large subunit ribosomal RNA
Rfam family: 5.8S ribosomal RNA (bases 1-122)
Source: RNAcentral
GAUGAAGAACGUAGCGAAAUGCGAUACUUGGUGUGAAUUGCAGAAUCCCGUGAACCAUCGAGUUUUUGAACGCAAGUUGCGCCCGAAGCCGUUAGGCCGAGGGCACGCCUGCCUGGGUGUCACACAUCGUUGCCCCAAUGCCAAUCGCCUCACUUUGUAGGUAUUUGCUUGGGGUGAAUGUUGGCUUCCCGCGAGCGAUGGCCCUCACGGUUGGCUGAAAAUCGAGUCCGUGGUGGAGUGUGCCGCGAUGGAUGGUGGUUGAGUAAAAGCUCGAGACCGAUCGUGUGUGUCGCCCCUACCGGAUUUGGGACUCCAUGACCCACGAGCGGCCGUUGGCCGCCCACGACGGGACCUCAGGUCAGGCGGGGCUACCCGCUGAGUUUAAGCAUAUCAAUAAGCGGAGGA